AAAUCUGAGCAGUGGAUCAUUUGGCUCGUGCAUCGAUGAAGAACGCAGCUAGCUGUGAGAACUAAUGCGAAUUGCAGAACACACUGCACAUCAACACUUUGAACACACUUUGCAGCCCAGGGUUACUCCUGGGGCUACGCCUGUCUGAAGGUAA
Molecule: ribosomal RNA, 154 nt
Organism: Protopterus annectens (West African lungfish)
Lineage: Eukaryota; Metazoa; Chordata; Ceratodontiformes; Protopteridae
Product: 5.8S ribosomal RNA
Exons: 1
Source: RefSeq, a predicted model, not a curated record